RNAcentral lists this long non-coding RNA (900 nucleotides) under Serinus canaria (Common canary). RNAcentral's name for it is "lncRNA (ENSSCAG00000007623.1)". The record is from RNAcentral. Lineage: Eukaryota; Metazoa; Chordata; Aves; Passeriformes; Fringillidae.
GAGGAGCUGUGUUGGAAUAAAGUCACGAGCGAGCCGGUGGGCCGCUGGCAACGCUAAGAGGGACUAGGCAGGUACCGGCAUCUAGCUAUCGGUCUGUUACUCGAGUGCUGGUAGAUCUCACUGGUAAUGUUGUGUUUCCACUCCAAGCUUUCCAUUUUGAUGGAGUUUGUAAAAAGAAAAGACGAUAAAAUUUUACAAACUUAGGAGUCUGUAAAAAGAAAAGACGAUAAAAUUUUUCAUAUUAAACGUUUCAGGCAUCUUCAGAAAUACCUGAGAACUGUGUUUUAUUGGGCUACAGUAAAACGCUGAUCGCCACAAGAAGUACACUUUGUGCUUACAUAGUGAGAAGCACCUGGGUUUGGUUUCAAGGAUACAUUGCCUCCCUCCCUUGCAAAGUUCUCCGGAGUUAGUCAGAUGGCUGCCGACAACCUGCACCGUGCAAAUGCUCUCAUGGUUCUGCCUGCACAGGAUGGUUGUGAGGUGUUCCUGUCCCAAGGACAUCUGAAAACUGCCACAUGCCAAGUCUGCAGCUAAAAUGUUUCAUCCCCUCUUAUAUCUCAGUCAUGACUGAUGGUAAAAAUUCAACAAACUAGAGCCAUGGAACAGGACCAGGGAAGGAUUUAAGGAGGGCAACUUUAUUGAAUCAAGUCAGAGGAUGUUGUGGGUUUGGAGAUGCUUGACCCACAAAGAGAUGUUGACCACAGAUUUGAAGCUCUUCAAAACUUCAAAGCUCUACAAAGAGUGUGACUGUUUAAAGAUUUCAAGGUGUGUGAAUUUAAAGGACAACAGCCCAUUUCAAACAACUCCAUGUAUGGACAUUCACAUAUAAAAGUAAGUGAGGGGGUUUAUUCUGGAUUAGAUUGUUUCACUUGCAAAAUGUAUCUUAUUCAUAAGAGUUCC